Entelurus aequoreus (snake pipefish) is the source of this 787-nucleotide long non-coding RNA. RefSeq lists it as uncharacterized. The transcript has 3 exons. Lineage: Eukaryota; Metazoa; Chordata; Actinopteri; Syngnathiformes; Syngnathidae. The record is from RefSeq and is a predicted model, not a curated record.
GAACGUUUGUGAUGAAUUGUCAUUGAAGUAUGUUGAUAAACAAUAUUAAGUCAAAUAAUAAGCGAUAUAAACGUAUUCAACUACAUUAUAUUCCAUGAUUUGUAUUAAGAAGAAAAAGUGUCCAUUUCCUAUUCUGCCAAAAGGCCGACCAGAAAGCACACACCGAGAUGGAAGCUGUAGCGGGGAUUCUUUGUCUGAUGGACCAUAACAUGAGCUGCAGUCCUCGUCCUCCUCGUCUUCCUCCUCCUCCUCAUCCCCCUCCUCCUCACGGGGCUUCUCGGGCUCGUCGCGGUGGUGGUGAAGCUCGAUGAGCAGGUAGUACAAAACCGCUGCGACCACGCCCCCCACCAUGGGCCCCGCCACUGGGAUCCACCACCAGUAGCCUGCCGUGCUGCACGGAGUGGAAAAUAAUUGUGAGGUGAUACUUUGGCCACAGCGAUGGAAGCACUGUUGGACCAACAAAAACAAUUGACCGUGCCUGGUGAGUGCGCGUGACUUUAUAUAACGAGCCGGUAAGUCUUGAUAGGCAUGUUUCCUAAUCGUUUAUUUCAAUCAAUAUUUUCUCUCGCCAACUACUACCUCACAUGCCGUUGUUGGUUGGUAUUGAAUCCCCUCUUGAUAUGUGCUUUUGAAAAGGCAAGUCAAGUUUACAGUUCACUAUCAAUCAUUUUCAAAUUGAUAUUAUCAUAAAUCAAAGUACAUUUCUAUAUUUUUUUCACUUGUAUGUUUUAUCUAUGCUGUAAAUAGUCCAUAAUGUUUGCACUACAAAAGGAGCUGCUUCAAUCUA